CACUCUACAUAUCUCCUCCUAACUACACUCUCCUGAGGUAACUACACUCUACAUAUCUCCUCCUAACUACACUCUCCUGAGGUAACUACACUCUACAUAUCUCCUCCUAACUACACUCUCCUGAGGUAACUACACUCUACAUAUCUCCUCCUAACUACACUCUCCUGAGGUAACUACACUCUACAUAUCUCCUCCUAACUACACUCUCCUGAGGUAACUACACUCUACAUAUCUCCUCCUAACUACACUCUCCUGAGGUAACUACACUCUACAUAUCUCCUCCUAACUACACUCUCCUGAGGUAACUACACUCUACAUAUCUCCUCCUAACUACACUCUCCUGAGGUAACUACACUCUACAUAUCUCCUCCUAACUACACUCUCCUGAGGUAACUACACUCUACAUAUCUCCUCCUAACUACACUCUCCUGAGGUAACUACACUCUACAUAUCUCCUCCUAACUACACUCUCCUGAGGUAACUACACUCUCCUGAGGUAACUACACUCUACAUAUCUCCUCCUAACUACACUCUCCUGAGGUAACUACACUCUACAUAUCUCCUCCUAACUACACUCUCCUGAGGUAACUACACUCUCUACAUAUCUCCUCCUAACUACACUCUCCUGAGGUAACUACACUUUCCUUAGGUAACUACACUCUCUACAUAUCUCCUCCUAACUACACUCUCCUGAGGUAACUACACUCUACAUAUCUCCUCCUAACUACACUCUCCUGAGGUAACUACACUCUACAUAUCUUCUCCUAACUACACUCUACAUAUCUCCUCCUAACUACACUCUCCUAAGGUAACUACACUCUCUACAUAUCUCCUCCUAACUACACUCUCCUGAGGUAACUACACUCUACAUAUCUCCUCUUAACUACACUCUCCUAAGGUAACUACACUCUCUACAUAUCUCCUCCUAACUACACUCUCCUGAGGUAACUACACUCUCCUUAGGUAACUACACUCUCUACAUAUCUCCUCCUAACUACACUCUCCUGAGGUAACUACACUCUACAUAUCUCCUCCUAACUACACUCUCCUGAGGUAACUACACUCUACAUAUCUCCUCCUAACUACACUCUCCUGAGGUAACUACACUCUACAUAUCUCCUCCUAACUACACUCUCCUGAGGUAACUACACUCUCUACAUAUCUCCUCCUAACUACACUCUCCUGAGGUAACUACACUCUCUACAUAUCUCCUCCUAACUGCACUCUCCUGAGGUAACUACACUCUCUACAUAUCUCCUCCUAACUACACUCUCCUGAGGUAACUACACUCUACAUAUCUCCUCCUAACUACACUCUCCUGAGGUAACUACACUACAUAUCUCCUCCUAACUACACUCUCCUGAGGUAACUACACUCUACAUAUCUCCUCCUAACUACACUCUCCUGAGGUAACUACACUCUACAUAUCUCCUCCUAACUACACUCUCCUGAGGUAACUACACUCUCUACAUAUCUCCUCCUAACUACACUCUACAUAUCUCCUCCUAACUACACUCUCCUAAGGUAACUACACUCUCUACAUAUCUCCUCCUAACUACACUCUCCUGAGGUAACUACACUCUCUACAUAUCUCUUCCUAACUACACUCUCCUGAGGUAACUACACUCUCUACAUAUCUCCUCCUAACUACACUCUCCUGAGGUAACUACACUCUCCUUAGGUAACUACACUCUCUACAUAUCUCCUCCUAACUACACUCUCCUGAGGUAACUACACUCUACAUAUCUCCUCCUAACUACACUCUCCUGAGGUAACUACACUCUACAUAUCUCCUCCUAACUACACUCUCCUGAGGUAACUACACUCUACAUAUCUCCUCCUAACUACA
This is a long non-coding RNA of Oncorhynchus keta (chum salmon), 1849 nucleotides long. RefSeq lists it as uncharacterized. The transcript is spliced from 3 exons. Lineage: Eukaryota; Metazoa; Chordata; Actinopteri; Salmoniformes; Salmonidae. The record is from RefSeq and is a predicted model, not a curated record.